CCUGCGGCCACCAGCUACCCCCUGCUUCCUGGAGGGUCGGGCGCUAAGCCUCCGCUGCCCCGGGGCGGGUGACACAGCGGAGCCGGCGAUGCGGGGCCGGCCUCGUUGUUCCAGUCUCUGAAAUGGGGCAUCGGAUGGCCGGUGGGGGGCACCCCGGGAGAGAGCGCUCCAAAGUGCCAGGCGCGGCGCCCUGCGCGCAGCGAGCGCCCCAGCCAGGGGCUGGUUAUGACUUGGCUGGACCAGCUCCAUCCCUGUCGCCCCCUCCCUCCCAGCCCUGCCCUGUCCUGCCCUGUCCCAUCCCUGUGGUUCUUCCUGUUGCAUUGGUGUGGUCCCCGUUGGCUCCUUGCCUGUCACUCCUUUGCGCUCCAUCCUGGUCGCUCCUUCCCGGGCUUAGCGGUCCCCCUUUCCAACUCCAUUCUCUCAGCUGCCUCUGGGCCGCUUACCUGGGGACUGUAGGCUUGUUGCUUAUUGUCCCAGGUAGUUAAACUGCUGUUUUCAGUGCUUGCUCUUCUUGAAGUCCAUUAAGUCUAGUCACCUUCUUCGGCUUCUCUUCUAUUUUGUGCCCAGGCAGGAUUUUGACCCACUCAGUAUUCUUUUUGGUGUCAAGUGUGUCACCUGAGCUGCUUUCCUCAACUUGCAGAUCUACUGGUGGCACUUUAUUAAAAAAUUGAAACGGGAGUCACUUAAAAAGGCACUUGAAUGGGUGAUUCCAGACAGGAAUUUGUUGUUAAAUUAUCAAAGGAGGGCCCGAUUGAAUUGGCGAGGGUCUCGGUGAGGUCCGUACCAAGUUGCAAUUUUCUCUCAAAUGAUUUAUUAUUAAGGAACUAGUAAAAUUUUUUGCUAGUUCAUAUCAUUAGCACUUCCCCAGAAAAAACUUUGUCAGGUUAAUAGUGAGUUUUAAAUAGUGUAUCAAAGCGUCAGCGAUGGAUUUUUUUUUCUCUAGCUACUUUCCUAAUUAACACCAUCAUGAGUUGUACAGCUAAUGCGGUUCCUUGAUGCCAAAUAGCUCUUGGAAUUGAUGCUCAAAAGAGGCAUCUUGUUUAUGGUGAAUUUGAAACCAUGCAAUUCUGUAAAAUAUUGGAAUCUAAACCAAAGUUAUUGUCCAUUUGAAAUCAUCAGUCCUUCAAGCGUUAGGCGCCCAAGAUUGCUUAAAUGUUACCUAAUGCUAAGUGAUCAUCAUCUGAUUUUUUUACAAGUCAUCUAUGAGCCCUAUGAUACAGAAAAUACCAGUCCCCUUGUUAUUUGUUGUGAAAAGCUAAAUUGUGCAAAUGAAGACAUGCUUGCUAGAUAUUUUGGCUUGCUUCUCCUCCUUAGCCCAUGCCUCUUGUUGGUUUUGCAGGAUGUGCUACUCUUUGAUAGGCAAUGCCAAGUAGUGAAAAUGAGGGAAAAGUGCAAACCUUUCUGCAAUGUCCUGAGUUUAACACCCCUAUUCCAGAGUGUAGCAUAUCUGAAGCUAACUGAAAAAAUCAAUGCUGCUUAAAAUUUCCGGCAAAUGGGAAACUUACUUAGAGAACAAGAACUCCUAUAUCAAACCUAAAUUUCACCGAAAAAACUGUGCAUUUCUCAUGGUGUAGAAAAAGGCUUAAUUCCUUUUUUCUCUUGCCUUUCCUAGUGUCUCUCCACCACCCAAAGGCAGGGAGUCCUAAAUAUGUAGGGUUUCUAUAUAUAAAAUUGAUAAAUCUCAACUCAUGGGCAGUUUUUUUUUUGGGGGGGUAGCAUAUAAUGUUACUAAAGUUAGGAACUUCUGUUCAGUUUUUUUUUUUCUUGGUGUUUGGAACUUAAUCUGACUUCUGCUUUUUUAGUGUCCCUCUUAAGAACGUACUUAUGCACUUAGGGUGUUCACUUCCUUGUAUGAAUGCCUUUGUUUUUCAGUGGUAUUCUUUGGUAAUGCUUUCUUUUAAGGCAGAGUAAGUGACAGGCAGCAUAUUUCUCAUGACAUUUGAAAAUUGAGAAAUACCAACUAGAGAGUAAUUUUAGGAAACAGCUCUUCAGUAAUUGUUAUUCUGUUGCUCUUUUUAAAAUAGACUCUCGAGUUGGGCCAUUGGAACCUCCUCCUGAGACUCUAAUUUGUUUUCUACUUAUCUUAAGCUUUAGUUUUGUAAUGUAGCUAUUUACAUAGUAACAGUCACUCCUUGUGCUGUGCUAGGAUUCUGUUACAUUAAGAUUAUCAGGUAAAACAUCUUGCAAAAUUCUCUUUACCACAGGAUGGCAGUUAGUAGCCUACCUAUUUGAUUUGGAGGUUGGGGGUUGGGGAAUUUCUAGAUCCUGUAAGAAAGUUAAUUGCGUGUUAAAAUGCCUCAGCCUAAUGACUUCAAUAGCUGGUAUGACUUCACACUAUUGGUAAAAGGGAUACGGGUCAAAUGUUUUCUGAUAAGUUUCUAUUUCAGCUUCAUUAUAGAGCGAGCCAUGUGAUUGCCAGUUUUUGGUAUUCUUGAAAGAGAUGUUCAGAUUUGUAUUUUUAGUAUCUGAAUGAGAAGCAUACAUUUUAAUUUGCCUUUGGUCUAUCACUAGUGAUUUUUUUAUUUCCAGCAAAUUAUUUGCAGUCACUAUUCUUUGUGCUUCCUUAUUUCAGUUACUUUGCCUUUUCCGCAGUUUUAAACAGAAGAGCAUCAGAACGAAAUAUCUAGCUAAUUUAAAUGAAACAAUGGGUUUGCAGCUUCCUGCCUAUUACAGGAGAGUCUCAGAAAAUGGAGCAUUCUGUCUAGGGGAGAUUUUGCUUCCCUGAGAUGGCAAGAGGCAAACAUUUUGUUAUGCUGACACUUUAUUCAGUUAACCAACCAAUGAGUGCAAAUCCUGGAAAAGCUGACUGUCCAAAUGGUAUAGCUGCUUUAGUUUACUGAAAUGUUGUUGAGCUAAUGUAGCUGAUAAUGGGGCCUACUGGGAGUGGUAAACUGUGACCCAUAGACUCCUUUGCAGGCCCAGUUAAAACAGGAGCAUUUAGAUGUGCAGGCCAGUUGUUUUACAUCAUGUUGGAAAAUAAAUACCUUUAUUUAAGUAAAGUCUAAUUCAUAAGCAAAGGCCCACAAAGGGUCAACAUCUUAAGCCCUGGAGUGAUUCAGACGACUUUUACUGUAGGCUGUAUUACUCUGUUACUCUUUUUUUUAAAAAAAAAAAAAACAGAAUGAAAUUCAGAUGGCUUGAAAUCACAUAUAAUUGAAGGCGGUUGAGUAAUGUGAACUUAAUCUUUCCCCUGGAGUCUCAUUUCUAUUUACUGGACAUUGCGAAUGUUGGAUCACCUAUUGCAAAGCUUGUCCUUUCAAAGUAUUCAUACGAUAUGAUAGGAAGGUCUGAAACAACAUUUUAAAGAUUCUUUAUAAUUUUCUAGGAGCACUGACAGUCCUUAAAGGACAUUUAUGAUACCGUUUAUGACAUUAAUUCAGUACAUAGUUGUAGAGCCAUUUCUAUGAGCCAGGCACAGGGAUACUAUGACAAACCCAGCCACAGCCCCUUCCUUCGUGGAGCUUAUAGACUAGUGUGAAAUACAAAGAUUUGAGCCAAGAAGUAUGUUUGCUUUAAAGUGUAAUUGUUUGAAGAUUUUAUUUAACGACAAACAAAUAGCGUUCGGAUGACUUUUAUUACUCUAUAUGCAUAGAAUAUAGAAUAAUAACAAAGAAUGAAUAUAGAAUAUAGGAUAAUGCGUAGAACACAUGAUGUCUGGUGUUUUACAAUAAUUUGUUAGUGAGUACCUUUGAAGAACUAUCUAAACAUAGUCUCCAUAGUGAUAUGGUAGUUUGCAUCUUUCUGUUUGUGUAGCCACCACAUGUAAUUGAUCUUUAAAAGUGGCCCAGUUUUCUUCUUUAGUGGACAUGGAGUUUAUUCGGUAAUUGUUUAACUCCAAUCAGUAAGUGAUUGGUGGAUAACUUGAAAUAUUCCUCUCCGUUUAGGCUGCAGAGUUUUCUGUGUCUUCACUCUCCUGUGCUCAUAGCCUAAUUUUGAACUGAAAAGUCCGUGUUGAAAGCACAAAUAGCCUUCAGAAAGAAAGUAUUCCUUAUUAUUGAUAGGAGUAUUUCUAUGUGUAAGAAACGGUAGUGUUCUUGCUUCUUUUUCAUUGAGGUACAAAUUCAAACCGUAAUUUGUUCUGACCUUACAGUUAUUAUUUCAUUUUUGGUCCGAGUUAACUUUGCCAGUGACUUGAAGAUGCAAAGAGUGCAUGUAGAUGUCAAUUCUUAGAAAUGGAUGUUCCGAGGCCGGGCGCGGUGGCUCACGCCUGUAAUUCCAGCACUUUGGGAGGCUGAGGUGGGCGGAUCAGGAGGUCAGGAGAUCGAGACCAUCCUGGCUAACACGGUGAAACCCCGUUUCUACUAAAAAUACAAAAAAAUUAGCUGGGCGUGGUAGCGGGCGCCUGUAGUCCCAGCUACUCGGGAGGCUGAGGCAGGAGAAUGGCGUGAACCCGGGAGGCGGAGCUUGCAGUGAGCCGAGAUCGCGCCACUGCACUCCAGCCUGGGCGACAGAGCGAGACUCCGUCUCAAAAAAAAAAAAAAAAAAAAAGAAAAGAAAUGGAUGUUCUUGUGAAAUCAGUUUUGGACCUAGAAUCUGUCAAAGCUGAGCAUCGUGAAAUGCUUCGAAUCGAGAGCCUCAUAGAUCUCUCUGGGGUACAAGCAGUCCCAGCUUUUACAUGCAAUGUGUUCUUAGAGACAGCCUCUUACAGUGUUUCCCCCAGUACGCUGAGUUGGACUUUGCCAAACAUGUGUUUGGACAAGGAUAGAAGCUAUCAGAGGAAGGUGUCAAGGCUUGAGGAAGGGAUGCGCAGGUCUUUUUCAGUGGCUGGCCAGCAGAGCAGUGAAAUGCAAAGUAAUAUUUUUUUAUUAUUAUUUUUUUUUAUUAUACUUUAGGGUUUUAGGGUACAUGUGCACAAUGUGCAGGUUUGUUACAUAUGUAUCCAUGUGCCAUGUUGAUUUCCUGAACCCAUUAACUCGUCAUUUAGCAUUAGGUGUAUCUCCUAAUGCUGUCCCUCCCCCCUCCCCCCACCCCACAACAGUCCCCGGAGUGUGAUGUUCCCCUUCCUGUGUCCAUGAGUUCUCAUUGUUCAAUUCCCACCUAUGAGUGAGAACAUGCGGUGUUUGGUAGACCUAAAACCAUUAAAAUCCUACAAGAAAACCUAGGCAAUACCAUUCAGGACAUAGGCGUGGGCAAGGACUUCAUGUCUAAAACACCAAAAGCAAUGGCAACAAAAGCCAAAAUCGACAAAUGGGAUCUCAUUAAACUAAAGAGCUUCUGCACAGCAAAAGAAACUAUCAUCAGAAUGAACAGGCAACCUACAGAAUGGGAGAAAAUUUUUGCAAAGUAGUAUUAAAUAGCUAGCAGGACCCCUGGCCUCCCUAGGGUCCCUGGAGCCCUGGCAAGGGAAAGAGAAGUUUAACGCCCAUGAUGUAAUAAUGGAAUAACUACCUUUAAUUGAGAGCUCAUCCUCCGUCAGGCAGUUGGCAUAAUUAGUUCAUUUGUCCCCACAAUACUUUUACCAGGUGAGUUGCAUUAGCUCCAUUUAACAGAAGGAGCAGACACUCAGGGAAGUAAGGAGCUCAGCCCAGGUGACACCUGACAGUGGGAGAGGCAGGAGUGACGCCCAGGUUUCGCCCAGCUCGGGGUCUUUCCCUGCCCAGGCAGGGUCUUGCUGGGCUGCCCCACCAAAAACGAAUACCAAACUCCCUCACGUCUUAUUUUGCAAGGAAUGGAUGAAACUGUGAUACAUUUUUAUUUGGGGGAAAAAUCCUUUUUCGUACUCUCCCGAUCAGCUACUAGUCCUCAGAGACUGAUAGAGAAUUCCUCUGGGACCUGCAAAAACGGUAAUUAUGAUUAAGUGAAUAAGCAGCUUGUUCCUUAUUUCCCAUGAGCUUGAAGGUUAAAUGCCUAUUCUGUUUAACACAAGCCAUGCAAUCUUGCUGGUGUUAAUGAGAAAUUGUGUAAUACACCGUCCCACCCCCCCAGCUUCAAAACAGGAUUUCUACUGUCUUUUUAUUUAGAAAAGAGGCCACCUGAGCUGCCCUGUCUCCUUUUUAUUUAAAAAAGGGGCAGCCUGAGCUGUCCCCUCCCCUGAAAUUUUCAUUUCUGGAAAAAGAGUAAAAGGGAAGAACAAUAUUUUUGGCUUUAUUUGCAAUAAAAAUCACUUUCUCAUUCACAUAAUCUUCCUUUGUUAAUACAGUCACAUAUCUGCGGACCACUGUAGGUGAAAAUGUAGGCUGUCUGCAUGGCUAUCAUUGUCUCUUCUUAUUUAUUCUCUGGACAUUGGCAAUGGGGAAAUGGAAAUGAUUAAUUUGGCAACUUUUACUCUAUUAUUGCAAAAUCAUUUGUAUGUUUCAGGAGCAGAAAAAGAUGCCGAUGUGAAAAUAGCCAGCCCAGACCUUCAUCCUUAGUGCACCAGAAGGCCACUGUCAUUGCUGGGCCCCUGGUUUUCCUGUGUCAUCCCUACUACCUACCAAACUGUCAUAGAAGAGAAGGUUCUAAAUCAGAAGCCAGACGUAAGGAUCUGAUUCCACUGGCAGCUUGCUAUGGCACCUCUGCAAGUCACUUAAAUUUGCUGUAUUUAGUUUCUCCAUCAGUAAAAUACAAUAUCUAUUUCUUUCUGAUUGUAUAAUGUCCCAAUAAAAAUCUGCCUUGUGAGCAUUUUCUGUCUAUGCAAUACAUUUGUAAAUAAUAGGAAACAUUAAAAAUUACCCAUAUUGAAUUUCAGACAUGGGUAACUCAGAAAAGAAGAUGAGAAGGAAUAUUAAAAGAAAUGAUAAAAACACUGAUACUAUAGGGUUAUUGUUGUUGAGAUUAUGUAUAGUAUAAGAUCCAAGUACACCUUUAAAAAAGUACAACAUAAUAGCGAAUGUUAAGGCAGUCUUGCAAGGAGACCCUGGUACCAUGUGCUCUGAGGGAGGAGGGAGUGGGUUUGGGAGGCAGGACUUCUGAAAAGCUGGAUGAUUGGCUGGAAUGGAGAAGAGCAAUUGUUGAGCCUUAGACUCAUAAGUAGGUUGAUUGCCCAGAUUUCUCAGUUUUCCUCCUCUAGCUGCUUAUUGUGGUACUGUGUGUCCAGAACCUUCUACACAUGAUACCUCACUCACACCUUUUUUUUUUUAUUAUACUUUAAGUUUUAGGGUACAUGUGCACAACAAGCAGGUUUGUUACAUAUGUAUACAUGUGCCAUGUUGGUGUGCUGCACCCAUUAACUUGUCAUUUACAUUAGGUAUAUCUCCUAAUGCUGUCCCUCCCCCCUCCCCCCGCCCCAGGAUAGGCCCUGGUGUGUGAUGUUCCUCACCCUGUGUCCAAGUGUUCUCAUUGUUCCAUUCUCACCUGUGAGUGAGAACAUGUGGUGUUUGGUUUUCUGUUCCUGUGUUAGUUUGCUUAGAAUGAUGGUUUCCAGCUUCAUCCAUGUCCCUAUAAAGGACAUGAACUCAUCCUUUUUUAUGGCUGCAUAGUAUUCCAUGGUGUAUAUGUGCCAGAUUUUCUUAAUCCAGUCUAUCAUUGAUGGACAUUUGGGUUGGUUCCAAGUCUUUGCUAUUGUAAAUAGUGCCAAAAUACACAUACGUGUGCAUGUGUCUUUAUAGCAGCAUAAUUUAUAAUGCUUUGGAUACAUACCCAGUAAUGGAAUCGCUGGGUCAAAUGGUAUUUCUAGUUCUAGAUCUUUGAGGAAUCGCCACACUGUCUUCCACAAUGGUUGAACUAGUUUACAGUCCCACCAACAGUGUAAAAGUGUUCUUAUUUCUCCACAUCCUUUCCAGCACCUGUUGUUUCCUGACUUUUUUAAUGAUCGCCUUUCUAACUGGCGUGAGAUGGUAUCUCAUCGCACUCACACUUUCUUGCUUGCUUGCCUUCCUCCCUUUCUUCUUUCCUUUCUGUCUUUCAUCUGUCCAUCUCUCCAGCCCAUAGGCUCUGGGGUGGUGGUAUCAGUGCCUAAGAGUUGCAAGCGUGCUACUUAAAUAGGUGUAACCAGGCAAUUAGCAGAGUUGACUCAUUCUUUAGAGGUCUUUGUUUCAGAAAAAUGAACUAAAAAUCAUGAUCUAAAAGCAGCUGGCUUCAUUGUAUUGUGCAUAAGGUGAUUCAUUCCAGUCUUUCUUAGACAUUAACAGAUUGCAUAUGAAUAACAUAGGAUUAUAGUAUCUCAUGUUUGAAAAGGUCUUGGGGGACAUCCAUUCUAGUUAUGCUUUUUGAUGAGUGACUUCCCUCUCUAAUAUCUAGCCACAGGCAUCUUUGAUAAGCAUCUUUUGAAACUGUUGUAUCAGAAAGCUCUCUUGUAUUACCUUCUGUGCACUGAUCUCUUAUCCCUUUGCAGUUGUGAGAAACAAGUUUAGUUCCUCUCAAAUGUGACAGAUCAUCAAAUAUUUGGAGGCAGCUCCUCUAGCUCAAGAUGCCUUUUAUAAGAAGCUGUCCCCAGUUCCUUUACUUACUCCUCAUAAUGCACACUGCUGUGUGUAAUCUAUGCUCAUUAGUCUGAACAUUACUGAGCUGAGUAAGGAUAUCAAAAUUUAUGAAGACCAAAAAGAGAUCUGUAAAAUUAUCAUAAUUAAUUUAGUAAUGGCAAAGCUAGUAAUAAAUUCUAUUUCAAAUAUGUGGCUGAGUCCCUCUGAAGUUCCAUUUUAGGAUUUGGUUCUUUGAAUGAUUUAAAAUUCAUUAUACCAGUUUGCUUAGGGGAUGAAUAUUUUCAUUAAUCAGAGUUUGGAAGCCAGGUAUGGGUUACAUGUGUAUUAUGACAACAGCUGCCAUUGCUGACUGCUAAGUAGGUACUAGGCACUGUAUAAUUCUUAGAUAAUUAUGGACUAAAAUAUUUCAGGAAGAAAGUGAGCUUUAAAUAUGCAGAAAAAGGUCAUAGGAUAUUAGGGGGUAUGUUUCAUAUCGUCAAAAACAUAAAAUCGCUGUAAUCCCAGUACUUUGGGAGGCUGAGGCAGGUGGAUCACCUGAGGUCAGGAGUUCAAGAUCAGCCUGACAAACAUGGUGAAACCCCGUCUCUAUUAAAAAUACAAAAAUUAGCUGGGCAUGAUGGCAGGCGCCCACAAUCCCAGCUACUCGGGAGGCUGAGGCAGGAGAAUUGUUUGAACCCAGGAGGUGGAGGUUGCAGUGAGCCGAGAUCGUGCUAUUGCACUCCAGCCUGGGUGGCAAGAGUGAAACUCCAUCUCAAACAAAGAAACAAAAAAACGAACCAACCAAUGAAACAACAACAACAACAACAAACCCAUAAAAUCCCAUUGGCUGGGGAAGACAGCAAGUUUCUUCAAUGUCAGCAGUAAAACUUUCUUGAAUAAUAUGCUGUUAGUAUUUGUGCAUUGUGUCAUUAAGCCAGUCCAUUGAUCUUUAUUAUCUUGUUUAGAUACUGAUAUGUCUGAUUAUAUUUUCAGGUGUAUUUCUUGUAAAUUUUUUGUAUCUUUAUUGCCUUUGAUAAAAGUUUAAAUUAAAAAUGAGGCCAGGUGUGGUGGCUCACGCCUGUAAUCCCAGCACUUUGGGAGGACAAGGCAGGAGGAUCGCUUGAGCUCAGGAGUUCAAGACCAGCCUGGGCAACAUGGUGAAACCCUGUCUCUACCAAAAAUACAGAAAAUUAGCCAGACAUAGUGGUGCACACCUAUGGUCCCAGCUCCAGCGACUCAGGAAGCUGAGGUGUGAGGGUUUCUUGAGCCCAGGAAGCAGAUGUUGCAGUCAGCUGAAAUCAUGUCACUGCACUGCAGCCGGACAGAGUGAGGUCUCGUCUCAAAAUACAAAAAAACAAAUAAAACCAAAAACUAAAAGUUGCAUGGAAUGGCAUUUACACAGCUGUUAAAUAUUGCAGACUUUCAUUUUUCUUUGUGAAUGUCUAAGGCCAUGAUGGUAUUUUGGAAACAUCUUUUUAAAAAAAUAUGAGGUAUUUGGUGGUGGUGGUGGGGUCUAUUCUCUAUUUAAAAAGGAACGAAUCCUAAUGGCUAAGUAAGGUCAAGGGACUUUAAUACACAUCUUUAACAUGGUCCUACCUUUUUAAGUGAAUUUUCUUUGUCUUUUUUUAUAUUAUGACACAGUAACUGGGAAGAGAAUCAUGCAAUAAAUAUCGUCAUCACCAGUAAGUCUAGAAUAGCGUGCAAAAUUUCUGUGCUAUCUUUUUUGUUCCAUUUUGGACCUGCUUCUUUCUGUUUUGUUUCCAGUGGCAGUGGAGAAAAGCUUGUUUUUUAUGCAAAACAUCCCAAUAGUAUAGAAGAGAAAAAUUGCACAAUAGCAGUUUCUAAGCAAUGAAUGAGAGGACAUGUAUGUUGGUGACUUUGUUGUUCCUCUUCAUCCCUCCAAUAAAUAAAACAGAGUUUUUGUGGACAGGGAUUUAUUAGAGUUUCAUCAUUUAGUUGACUGGCUUAUUAAAUUCCACAUAGAAAACUAGCUUGACUCUCCACAUUUCUGUCCUUUAAGUAAGGUGACCUGCUUGAUGCUGGAUUGAUGUUUCAAAUUAUUUUAAAAAAUUCAGGCUACUCUAUAAGAAAAGCUUAUUUGGGUGGAAACGCCUUCCUGUGAGAUGAGAGUUCUAAGUGAAGCGUUAUGGCCUAUGGUUAUGACUAGCUGGGGUAGCAUAGAUGGUGGUGGAGCAGAUAGAAAAAGCAGGGCAAGUUUGAAGUGCUCAGUGGUGCUAUCCUUUCGCAACCCUCUUUCCCUUACUUUCAGGAAACGUAUGCUCUAGAACUAGGGUUUGAAUUGGGUCAGUAUUGAAAUGAUCUUAGCGAGAGGCCAACUUGCUGGACUUCUCAUGUAGAUCUGUAGUUAUACAGGUUAGCUCAUUAAACCCAGUGACAGUAGAUGGUCAUUUAUUUCGUGUUUAUUACAGUAGAUGGUCAUUUAUUUAGAGUUUAAGAAAACCCCACAGUAGAUAGUCAUUUAUUUAGAGUUUAAGAAAACCCCACUAAGAUUUGUAGAUAGUGUUUUAUAGUUUUAUAUAUAUUAACUCUUUUUAGUUUUUACAAUUAUGCUUGGUAGUAGGUAGAAAUUUUAAAAAGAAAAAAAUUACUCCAGAUACAUCCAUGUGGAGACAUUGAGAGGUAUAUUUUAUCUAUUUGAGGACAGCUGGCUUUCUCCUUAGAUACUAGUAUCUUGACUGUGGUGCAGGGAGUGGCUUUCAGCCUUCCAGACUCAGAAACUAGAAUUUAUUGUAUCACUGUAUUAAGCAUCCGCCUCUUAUUGUGAAACUCACAUAAUCAGCCAAGUCUGCCUGACUAAAUUAUUCUCUUCCUAUAGGCCUCUGGUUCUUAUUUUAAGAUUAAAGACCCUUUUGAGAAUCCUACUAAGUGAGAGCCUCCCCCUCCCAAAAGGGCACUAACUCACUUACACAGAUUUAUCUGAAAAGCUACACUAUAGCUAGAAUGUCCAGUUUGCUACGUUGCAUUAAACACUGGCUCCCACAGGAGCCUACGUGCCCAGCAUCUGUGUGGCUGGAGCUCUCUCUCGUGGGUCGCCCUUGUGGGAAGCAAAAUGACCAUCAGAAGGUGGUGUAGCGAGCACAGACCCAUGGUCGGAUGAGUCAGAUGGUUACUUGGGACCAAGUCACCCCUCCUAGGGGUGGCUUACGCUGGAUGUCCAGUACUUGAAAUCCCUGACUACGCUGGCUUUGGGACAAGUCAUCUUUCCGUAUUUUCAUGUUUCCCAUCGUAAUUGGUGGGCACACCUCCACUGGAUUUGAGACUAUGGUUCAUGAAACCACUGCCAAAGCUGCCUAGACCAGAAACCUUUGGCAUUUCUCGGCCGUUUGUGUUAUGUAUUGAUUUAAAGUUUUUAUUCUCAGAGAGCAAGCUUUUUUCUUUAUUUAGAGAUUCUUGGAAAUGGCUUCAUAAUACUCAUCAUCUUAGUUUAGAAGAAGGAAAUUCAGGUUCAGGGAGAAGCUAAUUGCUCAAGGUCGCGUUGAUAACAAAUGGUGCAGCUGAGCUUCAAACCCAGGUUUUCUGAUUCCAAAUUCAGCAUAUUUUCAGAAAAGCCUUCAGACUGUCUUUUUCCUGGUGAAUCUUAUUUUAUGAGGAGGGGGCUCAUGGAUUUGAGUAGAGGAGCACUGUCAAUUUCAGACAUUAGUAACACAGUUUGAAAAUGCAUUGUAUUCAUUCAGUAAAGAUUAUCCACUGCAGAGGUCUGAGGAAGUGCUCCAGUAGCAUAAUUUCACUGGCCACGUUAACGUAAUAAUAAAUACAUUAAUAAUUCCCUAGAAGAAAAGAUGUCAUAGAUUCCAUGUUAAGUAAUAAGAUUGUUAUUAAUAAUGAUGGCAAAGUUAUAACUGGAGAAAAGCUACAUGUCAUGAGUUCUUAAUGUUUUCUUAUCCCAAACAUCUUUUUGUGAUUUUAGGUGCAUUCUUAAUUAAAAUUCAUCUCCAUGCCUGCCAGUUGGUAAAUGAGUAUCCCUGACUUGAACACAUUUGUCAGUUACUCUAGAAAUAAAGGAUUUUUUUUUUUUUUUUUUGAGACAGUCUCGCUCUCUUGCCCAGGCUGGAGUGCAGUGGUGUGAUCUCGGCUCACUGUAACCUCCGCCUCCCAGGUUCAACUGAUUCUCCUGCCUCAGCCUCCUGAGUAGCUGGGACUACAGAUGUGCUCCACCAUGCCUGGCUAAUAUUUUUGUACUUUUUGUAGAGACAGGGUUUUGCCACAUUGCCCAGGCUGGUCUCGAACUCCUGGCCUCAAGUGAUUCAACUGCCUUAGCCUCCCAAAGUGUUGGGAUUAGAGGUGUGAGCCACUGUGCCUGGACUGUAAAGGAUUUUUAAUGUUAAACUUGGCAGUCAUUAGCAGUUCAUUCUAAAUUGUGAUGGAAAAUUAAUGGAGCAGGUUGCAUAUCUAACCCCUACCCAGAAAGGUUGUUGAGCUCAGCUUGGGACAGAGUUGUAUUUGUCAGGAACACAUUAGUAAAUCCACUUACGGCUUUUGCCUUCUUCACCUAGUAAUGCGCGUGGAGCUUUUCCUCGUCAGCAGUAUAUAGAUCUGUUCAGUGUUUGGAAUCGCUGCAUGAGAUGUCAGAACUCUGAUCUACUUAACCCUGUGGCAUAAGCCCAAGAGCAAUUGCAGUGAAUGUUCUUACACAGGUGCCUUUGGGUCUAUGUGUGAGCCUUUCUCUAAGAUGGACGCCUAGAAAUCAGUAAGGUAUGGGCAUAGUCUCCUCUACGUAGAGCUGCAAAGAAAUUCUAAUUUUAUUCAGAAGCUUUACUGUUAAGAGUAAUAUUAUUUUUAGUUUGAAAUUAUUUCAUAUAAACAAUUAUUUCAUAUAUAUAGUUGGGUAAAACAAAAAAGAACAAUAUUGUUUUUGGUUAGAACCAAGAAUUUAAGUGUAAAUGAAGAGCCACAUGAGUACAAGAGUUAAAUAAAAAUUCUGUAAGAUCAGUUUUGAAUUGGAAAGUUAUUUGAAAUUCAUGAUUUUUUUUUCAAAUAUGUGUACUUAUCAUCCCCAGUCUUUAAAAAAAUCAAAGAAGCAGUUGCAUUUCCAUCACGUAGGCACCCCAUACACCUGCGCCUGACUCCAGGUGUGGGCGAGAUGAGCCUGGACCCUCUGUUAUCAGUUGUGUCAGAAAACAAAGGAGCCAUCCAAGAAAUGUGGUGGGCACCAUCCCUAACUAACUCUGAGGCCAGAAGAAGGGGUUUCCACUGGCUAAAAGUGAGACACCCUGAACAUCAAAAGAAUAUGACUGAUACAAACCCCCUGUGGUGGGCAUGGGCAGAAUGAUGCCCCCUGAAAUAUCCACAUCUUAAUCCCCAGAACCUAUGAACAUGUUAUGUUAUAUGACAAGGGGGCAUUGGGGUGUAGGUGGCAUCACAGCAGCUAAGGUGCUGAGUUUAAGAUAAAGAGAUUAUCCUGGAUGAUCUAGGUGGGCCCUAGUGUUACUGCGAGGGAGGCGGAGAGUUGGUGUCAGAGCGAUGCAACAUGAGAAUGAGUCAACCAGCCACUGCUGGCCUUUUGAGGAAGGAGGAAGGGGCCAUGGACCGAGGAAUGUGGGCAGCCUGUAGAAUCUGGCAAAGGCAAGGAAAUGGCCUGUCCCUUACAGCCUCCAUGUGAGACCGCAGCCCUACUGACACUCUGACCCACCUUAGCCCAAGGAGGCCCAUUUCAGACCUCUGACCUGCAGAUCUGUAAGAGAGUCAAUUUCUGCUUGAUUUAAGCCACCAGGUUUGUGGUAAUUUAUUAUGGCUGCAAUAACAAACUAAGAUACUCAUGCUAUCCCCAAGAGAUCCCCAAACAAGACAGAAGAGAACACCUCAUUGAUCACCACCAGCAGUAGAACCAAGGCACCUACUCUGUCUCUGAAUAGUGGCAAUUGAAAAGGUAAAGAAUUAAGCAUUUAUCCUGCCUUUGCUGUAAAAACUGCUUCUUAGGGUAUUCAGAACCCUAGUUGAUGGUUGGAGUGGUGGGACAGGAAUUUUGUUUUUUUUUUUCUUUGCGACAGGCUCUCGCUCUGUCACCCAGGCUGGAGUACGGCAGUGGUGUGAUCACAGCUCACUUCAGGCUCAACCUGCUGGGCUUAACUGAUCCUCCCACGUAGCUGGGACUACGGGCACACGCUACCAUGUUUUUUUUUUUUUUUUGGUAGGUAUGGGGUUUCGCCACGUUGCCAAGACUGGUCAAGGAUUCCUGGGCUCAAUGAUCUGUUCACUGCGGCCUCUCAAAAAGUUGGGAUUGCAGGCUUGUGCCACUGUGCCCAACCAAUGAAUGAGGGGACUUCUUUUUUUAUUUUUAUUAUUUUUUUUUUGAGAUGGAGUCUCACUCUGUCCCCCAGGCUGGAGUGUAGUGGCAUGAUCUCAGCUCACUGCAAGCUCCAUGUCCCGGGUUCAUGCCAUUCUCCUGCCUCAGCCUCCUGAGUAGCUGGGACUACAGGCACCCGCAACCCCGCCCAGCUAAUUUUUUGUAUUUUUAGUAGAAACGGGGUUUCACCGUGUUAGCCAGGAUGGUCUCGAUCUCCUGACCUCGUGAUCCGCCCGCCUCAGCCUCCCAAAGUGUUGGUAUUACAGGAGUGAGCCACCGAGCCUGGCCGAGGGGACUUCUUUACAGAAGAAUGGCAGCAAAUUAAUGUGGAAGGAAUGGUGAAAUAAAAAAAAAAAUCCCCAUUUUGCAAUUCUUAAUGAAAAUAUUGAUUUAGGCAAAGAUCAUCAAUGUAUGAUAUCACUAAAUGAAAGACUGAUGGGGAACUUCAGAUGGAGAGAUCAGACUAUCACCAAUUGAAUUUUCUAAGUAAAUUUUGCAUCACUAGGAUGAAAUAACUGUGUCCCCUAAUGUGAGGCAAUAUAAGUACCAAAACCAUCUCAAAAGUAUUCCUGCCCCCAAAUGAUGGACUUGAAUAUGAUCAAGCCUUUUGAGGUAACUUUCAGUUUAUAGGAAAUAUGGAGAGAGAGGAACAAUGAAAGACCUUAUAAGGAAGCAACAGACAGAAAGGGCAUCCCCCGUGAUGGCUUCCUCGGCUUCCUCAGGGGGUCACUGCAGAUAAAGGUCAGGGGUGGGGACAGUCAGGUGCUCUCGAUGAGAAGAGAUUUAAGAGAUGGCACUAUCAGAUGCAUGUGUGGAUCUUGAUUAGAUCCGGAUUGAAACCCACCAGCUAUACAAAAGACACUUGAGUCAUGGAAAUGUGGUUAGAGACUGGGCAUUGGAUCUUCGGGAAUUAUUAAUUCGAAGGGGAAGUUGGGAAGUGAUAAUAGACUGUGUUUAUAUGAGAAAAUUAUCCAUAAUUUUUAGAAAUGCAAACUGAAAUAGGCUAAAACGACAUGUGUUCUGAGACUUGUUAUUGAUUGAUUGAUUGAUUGAGAUGGAAUUUUGCUCUUGUUGCCCAGGCUGGAGUGCAAUGGCACAAUCUUGGGUCACUGCAACCUCCGCCUCCCGAGUUCAAGCAAUUCUCCUGCCUCAGCCUCCCAACUAGCUGGGAUUACAGGCAACUGCCACCAUGCCCAGCUAAUUUUUUGUAUUUAGUAGAGGCGUGGUUUCAUCAUGUUGGCCUGGAUGGUCUUGAACUCCUGACCUCAGGUGAUCCUCAGAUGAGCCACUGUGCCUGGCUGAGAUUUGUUUUAAAAUGCUUUAAAAAAUAAAGGUGGGAUAAGUCGGGUGGAGUGGCCCAUGCCUGUAAUUCCAGCACUUUGGGUGGCCAAGGCAGGUGGAUCAGUUGAACCAGGAGUUCAAGACCAGCUUGGGCAACACACCAAAACCUCAUGUCUACAAAAAUUAGUUGGGCAUGGUGGCACACACCUGUAGUCCUAGCUACUUGGGAGGCUGAGGGGGGAGGAUCACUUGAGCCCAGGAGAGUGAGGCUGAAGUGAGCUGAGAUUGCACUCCUGCACUCUAAUUUGAGCAACAGAGUGCGACUCUGUCUCAAAAAAAGAGAAAAGUAAAAGAAAAAAAAUGGAGGGUGGGGUAGGGAAAAGUAGCAGAUUACAAUCUUUGUAACUUCAAUGAGGUGCUGAGUGAUGGGUCUAGGUGUUCACCAUAUUAUAUCCUUUUGCAUGUUUGCAAACUUUUGCAAUAAUUUUUCAAAACAGUAGAGAAGAUGGCUAGAUGUGAAGAUCACAACUGUGUCCCUGCAGGGCUAAUGGAAGCCUCAGUUUUCCCAAUGUCAUGUUUAAUAGCACUGGUGACUUAAGAUGUACUAUAUAAUUUCUAUGACAGCAUCAUACACAGAUGCAAAAUGUACUGCAUCUCAAACAACUUAGAUUGACGGGAGGAUGAUGUGUUUUUUGGAAACUGCAUUAAAUGACUCAAAAAGAGGCUCUGUGACACUGAUUCCAAAGAUGCAGGUAGAGUUUUAAGAGGCUCAUUUGCAACCUAAGAGUCCCGACUAAUCCAACCAGAGUGGACAGAUUUACAACUUCUUGACCUGAAGGCUUGCUAUAGAAGGAUGAGAAAAAAAAUGCAAGAAGGCUAUUGAAAGGAGAAAGCACAGUAAGAGAUCAUACUUUAGAAAACGAUGAUCUGUUUACUUCCUGAGUGCGAAAGACUUCACUGACUUCAUUCAGAUGAUGGGUAUCUAUUAAAUAACGGCUCUGAUGUUUAAAUUUAGCAGAAAAAAAAAAUAACCCAUGCUCUUUAAGAUAAUCUACCUCUAAGCAUACUAUCCAUGCCUAAUGAAACCUUGCAAUGUAAGUCUCUCUUAUUAAAAUUAUGUUAACAGCUUUCUAUUUUUAAAUUACUUGAAUAUUAAUUUGUGAAAACAUUUCAGAAUAAUCAUUUUAAAAUAAAUAAGUGUUUCAUGGCUGGGUGCGGUGGCUUAUCAUGCCUGUAAUCCCAGCACUUUGGGAGGCCGAGGCGGAUGGAUCACCUGAGGUCAGGAGUUCGAGACCAGCCUGGCCGACGUGGUGAAUCCCCGUCUCUACUAAAAAUACAAAAAUUAGGCAGGCGUGGUGGUGGGCACCUGUAAUCCCAGCUACUCAGGAGGCUGAGGCAAGAGAAUCACUUGAACCCAGGUGGCGGAGGUUGCAGUGAGCCGAGAUUGCGCCACUGCACUCCAGUCCGGUGACAGAGCAAUAUCCUGUCUCAAAAAAAGAGUGUGUUGCUCUAAACCGGGCCUCACUAAGUAAUUACCAACAGGACCAGUGUGAAGAAUAAAGUUUAUUAAGAGAAAAAUUUAAAAAAGUCUGAGUGAAUUGAGAGCUGUAACGUAUUUCUAGACAGGAAAACUCGACAUUGUGAAGAUGUCAGGUCUCUACAAAUUAAUCUGUAAAUUCAAGACCAAAAUUCAAAAGAGAAUCAUUCCAAAUGAGAAUUUUAAAGAAACUCACAAGCCAGUGCUCAUUCAUCUGAAGAAAAAAUGGGCAAAAAUAACCAAUACAAUUUUGGAAAAGUAAAACAAUGGAGAUCUGCUCUAAUAUAAAACAUUCCUCUAGCAACUAAAACAGUGUAAAUAUUCAUGCAUAGAUGUGUACACAUCAGUUUGGUUUAUGUUAAAUACAGGUGGCAUUUCGAGUGGAGGAGGAAGAGUGAUGUGUGGUAGCUAUCUAUCAAAUAAAGCCAUAAUUCCUCCACGUUAUACACAAAAAUAAAUUCCAGGGUAUUUAAUGAGAUAAUAAAAAAGCUAAAAAUACAAAAAGGGAAUAUAUUCUUAUUGUGGAGUACAGAUACUCUGGGCUUUCCUAAGCAAACCCCAAACCUGGAAACCACAAAGGAGGAGAUGAAUGGAUACAAGGACAUGAAUGAAAAGUUGGCAUGUGACAGAGAUCUCAGAAUCCAAAUUAAAAGACAGGCGGAAAAAUUACAUUGCAUGACCUUCUGUGGAGCAUGUUUUAGUUUGUAAGUCUUAUCUGCUUAGACAGUGCAUGCUUACUAAAAUUCCUGACUGGCUCUUGUCCUAGGGAAGAGAGGGGGUAGGAGGCCUGGACUGUGGGUGUCCAGGAAGUAAGGCAAUUUGUAUCAAAUGAGUCACCUCUUUGCUAGUGGUAAUUUCAUCUCUCAGUCAUUGGGAAGGAAGAGUUUGCUUUAAAAAUGCCACAGAAAGAUGGACGUUGAUUUCAUGGGUGGUAAUUUAGGAAUUCUUCUCACAUGGCUACAAAAAUAAGUCAGUCCGAAAGUGGAGGCUAUUUGUGGCCUGGCAUUUUUCUGUGUAUUUUUUUUUCUUAGAUACUGUCAUCCAUUGUCUGUUCGAUAAGGUUAUUUGGGGCAGGCUAACAGGACUUACACGAUUCUUCCUGAGAGGUCCCCUUGGUUUCUCUCACUUCAGCCUUGCCUGCGGUCCCUUAGAUUCUGUCGCUGAGCUGUAGUGAACUGGGUUCUGGGGCACUCUGCAGUUGCCCCUGUGGAGGCUGACCGGUCACACUGUGUUGGGACUGUCUGUGUCCUCUCCUGUCACCCCCUCAGGACAUGGGCUCCUUGAAGGCAGGGGAUGAGUGGGGUUCACGGUGUAUUCUGAGGGUCAGACUCAGUGCCUGGCUCAGGGUAAGGAUGCAGCACCUAUCUUUUGAAUGAGCGAAUGGGUGAAUGAACAGAUGAGUUGUCUUUUCCUUUUCCUCCCAAUGAGUCUAUGUAUUUAAUAGCCUAUAUUAGACAUAGCUAAUAUACCAAGUAUUUGACUCUUUAGAGAGAGCUGUGGCAAAGAUUUGAUUCUUCAAAUGGUGCAAGAUCAGAAAUUCUUGAAUUCAUUCGAAUGUACAAAAAUAUUGUAUAGGUUAUAAUAUCAUAUUUCAACUCCAAAUUUGGACAGAUUUGGCAUUAUAGCUUUUAUAAACUAUGAAAGAUAGUUUUCUCUAAACAAUGCUAUGGCAGCUUAUGUGAGAAAAAUUAGUACUAGAGAAAAGCUAAUGAUUUAUUAAUGAGUAAGGAAAUAUGCAAAUAUGAAACUAGAAUCAACUGGGGGCAGAAGUAGGGAGGUGGGAGUAAAUGCCUAAAAUCUUUGGGAGUACUUUUUCUGGAAGACUAUGAUUUGUUUUGAAAAGUGGCUUUGAAAGCUCUGCUUAUAGCCAUGUGGUAGUUCCCCCAUUAUCUGUGGUUUUGCUUUUAGCAGUUUCAGUUGUCCGAAGUCAAUCGAGGCCUGAAAAUAUUAAAUGGAAAAUUCCAGAAAUAGAUAAUUGCUAAGUUUUAACUUGUAUGCCAUUUUGACUAGAAAGAUGAAAUCUUGCACCAUUCUGUCUGGAAUGUGAUUCUUUGUUCAAAGAAUCCUCAGUGUAGAUGCUACUGCCCUGUGAGUCCCUUAGUACCUGGCUUAGGUAUCAGAUCCUUUGUAACCUUUAUUUUAUUUAAUGAUAGCCCCAAAGCUCGUGAGUAGCAAUGCUGGCAGUUCAGAUAUGCCAAAGGGAAGCUGCAAAGUACUGACUCAGUGAAAAGGUGAACAUUCUCAAUGUAAGAGAACAGAAUAAAUCAUAUGUGGAGGUUUCUAAGAAGUAAGAAUGUUCUGUCCAUGAAACUGUGAACUGUGAAAUUAUAUUGCUAUAAUUGUUCUAUUAGCAGUUAUUGUUGAUCCCUUACUGUGCCUAACUGAUAAAUUUAUCUUUAUCAUAGAUGUGUAUGUAUAAGAAAAAACAGUAAAUAUAGGAUUCUAUACUAUCUGCAGGUUCAGGUAUCCACUGGCCUUGUAUUUUCUUUUUUAGUCAAGAUGAUUUGAGAAACUUAGAUACAGGGAAACCCUGUGCCUGGUCACGUGAAUGGAAAGGCCGUCUUUAUUAAUGAAAACAUGGCUUAAGCUGUUGUAACCAAGAGACCCCAAAAUGUGAUGGCCCCCAAGCCCAGGCCACACCACAGACCAAUUACAUCAGACUCUCCCUGGAGAGGACCAGGCACCAAGAUUUUUAGAAUUCUUCCCAGGUAAUCCUAAAGUCUAGGUAAAGUUGAGAACCACUGGCCUGGAGUUAUUCAGAACUGACUAGGGAGGGGACUGAGUUUUGCAGCCCACAGCUAUCCCUCAUCCUGGGCUCGUAGAACAGCUCCGCCUGCCUCCCUAUAGGGCCUUCACCUCUCGGCCAGGCCUCGUGUUAUGGUUGUUUCCCACUCAGGAGGAAGUGGAGUGCACAAGUUCCUUUUAAGGAAGUGAACUGGAAGUAGCAUGUUUCACUCACAUUCCAUUGGCGGGUGCUAGGACAUGUGACUAUGUAACCGCAAUAGAGGUUGAGAAAUGUGACGUGAAUCUGGUUGGCCAUCUGCCCUGCUCAUUUUUGAAGUGGGAAGGUUUCUGUUACUGAUAGGUAGAAGAGUGUAAUGGUUACCAUGCUAUCCAUUAAUUAAAACUAUUUAUUAUCAAUUACCAAUUAUCAACUCUAAAGCUGAACAGAGUUCAACUGACCUCAUAUAUAUAAUUAUGUCAUGUGAGAUAAUUAUACACAUACACACACAGGCAAGCUAUGAACUAGAUGCAAAGACUUGGGAGAGGCUUUAGUUUACAUUAAUUACAAAGUUUUAAAGUUUACACUUACUAAGCUUUUAGUUUAUAUUAAUCAUAAAGUUGUUGCUCUUUGUUCCACUAUCAUUUAUGAGUUGUUUAGGAGUGAAAACCUGCUGUGGGCGACUUUUUCAUUUGUUUGGGCUCCCUUGGUGCAAGCUGUUUAAAGAGGCAGAAAAGCGAUUUUAGCCAAAACGUAUUCCGGUGAUGUCAGUUGCAAUCCUGGGUCAUCACAUAAAGGUUAUAGCAACUUCAAGGGUGUAGAAUCUGAAAAAAGUUAAGGUUAAAUAGGAAUAUCAUUUUUGGUAGGGCACCACAUUUUCUAGAGCCCCCUUUUUAUUAUCUUGCUAUAUACACUCUUAAUUGUAGAAACCAUUCUUGAAGGGUUGGGGAAGGCUCCAUGGUGUUGGUGGGUACAGAUUUAGUAUAAAUGAAUUAGUCUUACUCAUCUUUCUAUAUUCUUGUGGCCAGAAUACUUCCAGACCCAUAACAGAUCCUUAGCAAAUAUUAACUGACGUGAAUAUGCUUGUAUCAUUGUGUAGUUUAUUUAGAAAGAUGAUGCUCUUUCACUCCUUUGUGGACAUUUCGCAGUGACAUGUUGAGUCCUUUGGUAUGCAACAGUGUUGAAGGUGGGGGAUUGAGUACUAGAAUGAUUGCUGAUGUCUCUUUAAGGGUGGUGAGCGACACAGGGACUUCUAUCAUUAACAGUUAGAAAGAGUGAAUAAGACCUGCUGUGCAAUAACACAACAGAGUGACUAUAGUCCAUAAUAACUUAAUUGUACAUUUUAAAAUAACUUAAAGAGUAUAAUUGGAUAAUUUGUAACUCAGAGGAGAAAUGCUGGAGGGGUUGGAUACUCCAUUCUUCAUGAUGUGCUUAUUUCACAUUGCAUGUCUAUACCAAAAUAUUUCAUGUCCCCAUAAAUAUAUCUACCUACUGUGUACCCAUAAAUGUUAAAAGAUAAAUUAAAAAGAAAAUCAUGACUGUCCAUCGUGGGAAAUGAUACAGCAGUGAUGUACAGCAAGCAGUAGGAACAGAGGUGGGAGGGCUCACCUCUGCAGAGUUGGAGAGGGCUGCAUAGUGUUGGUGACCCCUGAACUGGGUCAUGGAGGAUGAGUAGGAGAUUUUCAUGUGAAAAGGAAAGGGCAUUAGAGGGAAUGGUAUUUACAGAGUGAUGGAGCUGGAAGAGCCUGUGUCUUUCAUGAAAAAUGAAAAAGUCAAGUGUGGCUGCAGUGUGAGAAGGACAACAGCAAGACCUGGUUGAGGCAGCCUCCUUGAAAAUGCUCCCUGCAGUACCCUAAGGGGUUUGGACGCUGGGCAAAGCGAGAGGCCCUUGCAAUCUUUUUUUUUUUUUUUUUGAGAUGGAGUCUGAUUCAGGCUGGAGUGCAUGGCAUAAUCUCAGCUCACUGCAACCUCCACCUCCCAUGUUCAAGCAAUUCUCCUGCCUCAACCUCCUGAGUAGCUGGGAUUACAGGUGCCCACCACCAUGCCCAGCUAAUUUUUGUAUUUUUAGUAGUGACGGGGUUUCACCAUGUCAGCCAGGCUGGUCUGGAAUUCCUGACCUCAGGUGAUCCCCCUGCCUCGGCCUCCCAAAGUGCUAGGAUUACAGGUGUGAGCCACCAUGCCCAGCAGCCCUUGCAGUCUUUUAAAUGAGAUGAUUACAUGGUCCGAUUUAUAUUUUAGAAAAAUUACUCUUGGAAACAAGGAGGCUGCAACCCUCCCUGCAUGAGGCUCCCUGACCCCAGUCUCAGUCCUCUAAUAACGCCACAGCCCUAGAACAUAGUCUCCUCUGUAUUAUUCCUGAUUUAAAGGAUUUUGAUGAAAAGGCAAAUGGAUUCUGAAAUGAUUCUUAUAACUAAUUUAUUUUAUUUUUAUUUUUUAUUUUUUGAGGCAGAGUCUUGCUCUGUCACCCAGGCUGGAGUGCAGUGGCGCGAUCUUGUCUCACUGCAGCCUCUGCCUCCUAGGCUUAAGCAAUCCUCCCACCUCAGCCUCCCAAGUAGCUGGGACCACAGACACGUACCACCAUGCCUGGGUAAUUUUUUUAUAGUUUUGGUAGAGAUGGGUGAUAUGGUUGGGCUGUGUCACCACCCAAAUCUCAGCUUGAAUUGUACUCCCAUAAUUCCCACUUGUGGUGGGAGGGACCUGGUGGGAAAUAAUUGAAUCACGGGGCAGUUUCUCCCACACUGUUCUCGUGGCAAUGAGUAAGUCUCACGAGAUCUGAUGGUUUGAUAAGGGGAAACCCGUUUCACUUGGUUCUCAUUCUCUCUUUUGCCUGCUGCUAUGUAAGACGUACGUUUUGCCUUCCACCAUGAUUGUGAGGCCUCCCCAGCCACAUGGAACUGUAAGUCCAGUUAAACCCUUUCUCCUGGAUAAAUUACCCAGUCUCGGGUAUAUCUUUACCAGCAGUGUGAAAAUGGACUAAUACAGUGGAGUUUCACCAUGUUGCCCAGGCUGGUCUCAAACUCCUGAGCUCAAGUGAUCCACCUGCCUCGGCCUCUCAAAGUGCUGGGAUUACAGGUGUGAGCCACCACGCCCUGCCUGUUUUAACUAAUUUAAAGGGAUUGUUUCGAGUAUAAAGGUUCAGUCUCUUUAAUUAGGUAAACUGAGGACCCCAUAAAUUUAUUUAUCAUUCUGCUGGUGUCUGUUUGGGGAUGAUUUUUGUAUCUGAUGACUGUUUGUGGGCCAGUGAAAUUCAAGUAUAUUUAAUGUCACCUUAAUAUCUAGUUAUAUUGCAAAGAAAAAAACAUUAAAACAGAAUGUGGAUUAUCAAAAUAUUGUAGGAAAAGCACAAAAUAAAUUUGUAGUUAGCCUGAUUGGAUUGUUAUCUGAGCAUAGAUUGUCCUGUGCUGAAUUGUUUAAUGCUAUGCAAAUUAUAUGAGACUUUCCUGUAAAAGACAUAAGAAACUGAGGAAACUGGAAGAGUUGACAUUAAACUAUUUAAGAUUAUUUUACAGACUACAUCAGAAUCCUGGCGGAGUUUGGUGAUUUUAAAUCUAGUGGUCAAGUUUUUAUUGUGACUUUGGAUAACAGAGCUCUAUUCUGUGUGCUUGUUGAGUGGUUUGUGGAAAAUACUUAGUAACUACAUAUAAAGAAAGUAGUUUCUUUAUAUAUAUAGGGGAACAGAAUCUUGAUAUGAUUGUGUGGUCAUUAAAAAGAAUCUUUUGGUUUUCUUGGUGGUCAGUAAUAGUAACAAUUCUCAUUUGUGUGCUGCUUAUAGUUUAUUAAUUUUUUUUUUUUGAGACAAGGUCUGUCGCCCAGGCUGGAGUGCAGUGGUGAGAUCAUAGCUCACUGCAGCCUCAAACCCCUGGGCUCAAGUAAUUCUACCUCAGCCUCCUGAGUAACUGAGACUACAGGUUCAUGCCACCAUCUUGGCUGGCUGUUUAAUUUUUUGUGUAGAGAGCGGUUCUCGCUAUGUUGCCCAGGCAGUUCUUGGACUCCUGGCCUGAAGUGAUGCUUCUGCCUUAACCUCCUGAAGAGCUGAGAUUAUAGAGCCAGCAAGCCCACUCACUGAUUAUAGUUUAGAAAGCACUCUCUUACAAACUUGUUCAACCUUUACGACUACCUUAUUAUGUGCUACUAGUUUUUCUGGGCAAUAUGUUACCUGUUAAUUAAAAUAUUUGCUUAAAUGCAUUUUAUUUUGGACAUUAGAAUAAAACAUAAUUAAACCUCAGAAUAUGUAGGAUUUCAAUAAUGUGAGGUUAUCUAGCAGUGUCCUAAACACUGUAGUUUCUCUACUAGUAAGGUGUUGACGUACAACCUAGCCCACCUGUUCUUGGCCCAUAGGGAGCAGAUGUCUGGUGGCUGGUCUUUUAACCACUUUUGUAGUAGAAAAAAAUUAAAAUUAUAAUACAAUAUUUAUUAUGCUUACCAUGGAUUUAUGUAUCAGGACCCCAGUAGGCCAUGACAGGUAGGGCUGGUAUAUUUCCAGCCAGUUGGUAUUAAAUUAACACAAGUCAUUAUGCCUCCAAGCAGUAUACAGUGUAUGAUAUACGUAACUCUUAUUUUGGUGAGGAGUAUAAAAGUAAUAAUCCUGGACUCUGGAGGCCAGAAUUUGAUGCUUUAAAACUCUGUAUAAUGAAAAUUUUAAACAUGCACAGAAGGAGAGAAUAGGAGUAUGAAAUUGAUACAGCCAUCCCUCGGCUUUCUCAGUUAUUAAUACUGUAUUAGUCUGUUCUCACACUGCUAAUAAAGACAUACCUGAGACUGGAUAAUUUAUAAACGAAAGAGGUUUGAUGGACUCACAGUUCCACAUGGCUGGGGAGGCCUCACAAUCAUGGUGGAAGGUGAAGGAGGUGCAAACGCAUGUCUUACAUGGCAGCAGGCAAGAGAGUGUGUGCAGGGGAACUCCCCUUUGUAAAACCAUCAGAUCUCGUGAGACUAAUUCACUAUCAUGAAAACAGCAUGGGAAAGAUCCGACUCCAUGAUUCAAUGACCUCCCACUGGGUCCCUCCCUCAACAUGUGGGAAUUAUGGGAGCUACAAUUCAAGAUGAGAUUUGGAUGGGAACACAGCCAAAGCAGAUCAAAUAUAUAGCUAAUUUUGUUUUAUCUAUACCUCCUAUUUUCUUUAGAUUAUUUUGAAGCAUGUCUAGAGAUCGUAUAUAUAUAAUUUCAUCUUUAAAUAUUUCUAUAUGCAUUCCUGAAAGAUAAAAACUCUUUCAGAAUACAAAAGUGAAAGUGGAAUACAAUGCCACUACGAAAAAAAUGCUCCCUUAAUAUUAUCAAAUAGUCAAUGCAUAUUCUCAUUUCUCUAUUUUUUUUAAAGAAUGCUGUUUUACUUGAAUUGAGUUUUUAAUAAGGGCUAUACAUUAUGUUAUUGUUAUUUCUUUUGAUUCUUUUUUGACCUAUACAUUCCUCUGCUAUCAUUAUUUUCUCUUGAGACUUUUUGUUAAAGAUACCAGGUCAUUUUGUUGUGUAGUUUCCCCACACUCAGGGUUUUACUUACUGCAUCCCAAUGGUGCAAUUAAAACAAACAGGCCGGGCGCGGUGGCUCAUGCCUGUAAUCCCAGCACUUUGGAAGGCCGAGGCGGAUGGAUCAUAAGGUCAAGAGAUUGAGACUAUCCUGGUCAACAUGUUGAAACCUUCUCUUUACUAAAAAUACAAAAAAAUCAGCCGGGCGUGGUGGUAGGCACCUGUAGUCCGAGCUACUCGAGAGGCUGAGGGAGGAGAAUCACUUGAAGUCGGGAGGUGGAGGUUGCCGUGAGCUGAGAUUGCGCCACUGCACUCCAGCCUGGCGACAGAGUGAUACUGCGUCUGAAAACAAAAAAACAAAAAACAAAAA
Molecule: long non-coding RNA, 25996 nt
Organism: Symphalangus syndactylus (siamang)
Lineage: Eukaryota; Metazoa; Chordata; Mammalia; Primates; Hylobatidae
Source: RefSeq, a predicted model, not a curated record